Harpegnathos saltator (Jerdon's jumping ant) is the source of this 982-nucleotide RNA transcript. It is a transcript of the gene named Cytochrome c oxidase copper chaperone COX17, with no coding region annotated. The record is from RefSeq and is a predicted model, not a curated record. The transcript is spliced from 3 exons. NCBI's taxonomy places the organism in Eukaryota, Metazoa, Arthropoda, Insecta, Hymenoptera, Formicidae.
CAUCAAAGAUGCCGUUGUAGGCGGUCGAGCCUAAUGUGCUAUUGUGUGUAGAGUGGAUGGUAGCAUGCUCUUGCGUAAAUUUUCCGCUAAUUUCAUUAAGCCAAGUUUAAUUACAAGCAAAAAUGGGUAAUGACCAGGCGAAGGUGGAGAGCAAAUCGGAAGAAGAGAAGAAAAAAUUAAAACCUUGCUGCGCUUGUCCGGAAACAAAAAAAGCGAGAGAUACGUGUAUUAUAGAAAAAGGCGAGGAAAAUUGCGGCGACCUUAUAGAAGCGCACAAAGUCUGUAUGCGAUCUAUGGGAUUCAAUAUAUAAGAUAAUUAGUAAAGAAGAAAGGAUGUCCUGUUACGAGAGUAUUUGUUGCGCAGACAAAUACUUGCGAAGAAUCUUAACAUCAGAUCAUAGACAUUUUGAUGUCUGUGCAAUCUGUCUUUGUACAUUAAUUUACUUUUAAGCUUAAAAGUAAUAUUAUGUCCAACCAAAUCUAUUUUUCUGUCAUCUGUUCGAUAUUAAUCUUUUGUUUGAAAAUAUAUUUUGUAAGGUGAGACUGGAAGUAAAAGGAGAAGCCAUGUUGGGAAUUCUAACAAAGCAUAUAUUUUAAUUUGAUGUGUGGCUAAUGCGAAGGUUUUACUUCUUGCAUAUAACAAUUCCACAGCUUGGUUUCCCUGAACACUCCAAAUAAUGAACAGAUUUCUUAAUCGACAUAUGGCGAAAUCCAGUAUUAUAAUUAAUAAUCGUCAUUGUUUUUGACGUUUCCUUACGGUCAGUCGUCGUAACGUUAUUGCGAAGUGGUCCUACUGGGCUGAAAGACAAACUUACAUUCGACUGGUGCACCAUAAUUAUCGAAGCUAUAUAAAACAACGACGCGACAUUCACGGGUCGGAUACGGGUGAGUGUCGCGUCCGCUAUCGAAUGAUCGCAAAUAUAUCUUUAACUACAAUAAUAAAUAGGUCUUAGAGAUACAUCAGUACAAUUUAUAUGUGUGA